AGGGGGUACAGUUUUAUAUUGUUCUUAUCCAACAUUUGACCGUUUAUCUUAUUUAAUUUUUUUAUAAUUAGUAUUUUUGUUGUUAUUAGAUGAUAAAAUAUGAAUAAUACUUUAUGUGAUUAUUAUUUUUAAUUUCUUCACAAAUUUUUCAAAUAAGACGGACGGUCAAACGAUAUGUAUACCCACGGCUGCACUAAUU
Molecule: non-coding RNA, 199 nt
Organism: Oryza glaberrima (African rice)
Lineage: Eukaryota; Viridiplantae; Streptophyta; Magnoliopsida; Poales; Poaceae
Source: Rfam